UACGGGGGGAGCAAGCGUUGUUCGGAUUUACUGGGCGUAAAGGGCGCGUAGGCGGUGCGGUAAGUCACCUGUGAAACCUCUAGGCUUAACCUAGAGCCUGCAGGCGAAACUGCCGUGCUGGAGUGUGGGAGAGGUGCGUGGAAUUCCCGGUGUAGCGGUGAAAUGCGUAGAUAUCUGGAGGAACACCGGUGGCGAAGGCGGCAUCCUGGACCGGUAUUGACGCUGAGGUGCGAAAGCGUGGGGAGCAAACAGG
Molecule: ribosomal RNA, 253 nt
Filed under: uncultured bacterium
Lineage: Bacteria
Description: partial 16S ribosomal RNA
Rfam family: Bacterial small subunit ribosomal RNA
Source: RNAcentral